This 355-nucleotide long non-coding RNA is filed under the name Manacus vitellinus (golden-collared manakin). Its description in RNAcentral is "lncRNA (ENSMVIG00005017722.1)". The record is from RNAcentral. Lineage: Eukaryota; Metazoa; Chordata; Aves; Passeriformes; Pipridae.
CUGUGAUAACAUGUACCUCUGACAUCUUGGCGAGCGCUAAGUUCUGUUUCUGGGUUCCCUUUGCAGAGUCCCAGAAGUGAAGGUGUCUGUGCUCUACUGGGGACAAGGGGGACAACCCCUUAGAAGCAGACGUGGUUUUGUAGGUUAGAAAUGAACUUACCUUGGCAGGAAGCACUUGGCCAGGCUGGCAGAGACAGUGCUUAAGCCCUCACAUGCCAGAUUUCUUCAGAAGCACAAAAGGAGAUGUUCUGUUCUUUGAAAAUAACUGGAGCCACUGGCAAGAAGCAGCAGCACUGCAUCAAACAAGGAAAGCAUCUCCAGGUUAUCAGAACAUGCUGUUGAACUGAAUUUUGCA